GUGCCAGCCGCCGCGGUAAUACAGAGGGUGCGAGCGUUGUUCGGAAUUAUUGGGCGUAAAGAGCGCGUAGGCGGUUUGCUAAGUCUGAUGUGAAAGCCCUCGGCUUAACCGAGGAAGUGCAUUGGAUACUGGCAGGCUUGAGUGUGAGAGAGGAUAGUGGAAUACCUGGUGUAGCGGUGAAAUGCGUAGAUAUCAGGUGGAACACCGGUGGCGAAGGCGGCUAUCUGGAUCAUAACUGACGCUGAGGCGCGAAAGCAUGGGGAGCAAACAGGAUUAGAAACCCUCGUAGUCC
RNAcentral lists this ribosomal RNA (292 nucleotides) under uncultured bacterium. Its description in RNAcentral is "partial 16S ribosomal RNA". It matches the Rfam family "Bacterial small subunit ribosomal RNA", at positions 505 to 796 of the family's 1533-position model. The record is from RNAcentral.